RNAcentral lists this ribosomal RNA (490 nucleotides) under uncultured bacterium. RNAcentral's name for it is "partial 16S ribosomal RNA". It matches the Rfam family "Bacterial small subunit ribosomal RNA", at positions 30 to 507 of the family's 1533-position model. The record is from RNAcentral.
AUUGAACGCUGGCGGCAGGCCUAACACAUGCAAGUCGAACGGUAACAGAAAGCAGCUUGCUGCUUUGCUGACGAGUGGCGGACGGGUGAGUAAUGUCUGGGAAACUGCCUGAUGGAGGGGGAUAACUACUGGAAACGGUAGCUAAUACCGCAUAACGUCGCAAGACCAAAGAGGGGGACCUUCGGGCCUCUUGCCAUCGGAUGUGCCCAGAUGGGAUUAGCUAGUAGGUGGGGUAACGGCUCACCUAGGCGACGAUCCCUAGCUGGUCUGAGAGGAUGACCAGCCACACUGGAACUGAGACACGGUCCAGACUCCUACGGGAGGCAGCAGUGGGGAAUAUUGCACAAUGGGCGCAAGCCUGAUGCAGCCAUGCCGCGGGUAUGAAGAAGGCCUUCGGGUUGUAAAGUACUUUCAGCGGGGAGGAAGGGAGUAAAGUUAAUACCUUUGCUCAUUGACGUUACCCGCAGAAGAAGCACCGGCUAACUCCGUG